Molecule: ribosomal RNA, 661 nt
Filed under: uncultured Lachnospiraceae bacterium
Lineage: Bacteria; Bacillati; Bacillota; Clostridia; Lachnospirales; Lachnospiraceae
Description: bacterial SSU rRNA
Rfam family: Bacterial small subunit ribosomal RNA
Source: RNAcentral
AGUCGAACGGACUUUACAUGAAGCCUAGCGAUUGUAAAGUUAGUGGCGGACGGGUGAGUAACACGUGAAUAACCUGCCCUGUACCGGGGGACAACAGUUGGAAACGGCUGCUAAUACCGCAUAAGCGCACGGUUCCGCAUGGAACAGUGUGAAAAACUCCGGUGGUACAGGAUGGAUUCGCGUCUGAUUAGCCAGUUGGUGGGGUAACGGCCUACCAAAGCAACGAUCAGUAGCCGGCCUGAGAGGGUGAACGGCCACAUUGGGACUGAGACACGGCCCAAACUCCUACGGGAGGCAGCAGUGGGGAAUAUUGCACAAUGGGGGAAACCCUGAUGCAGCGACGCCGCGUGAGUGAAGAAGUUAUUCGUAACGUAAAGCUCUAUCAGCAGGGAAGAAAAUGACGGUACCUGACUAAGAAGCCCUGGCUAACUACGUGCCAGCAGCCGCGGUAAUACGUAGGGGGCAAGCGUUAUCCGGAUUUACUGGGUGUAAAGGGAGCGUAGACGGCACAGCAAGUCUGAUGUGAAAGCCCGGGGCCCAACCCCGGAACUGCAUUGGAAACUGCUGGGCUUGAGUGCAGGAGAGGUAAGCGGAAUUCCUAGUGUAGCGGUGAAAUGCGUAGAUAUUAGGAGGAACACCAGUGGCGAAGGCGGCUUACUGG